CUCCUGACUCAAAUUCCUCCCUUUGAAAGUGAGGUCUCUUAUGAGUGACUCUGACUGGUGAGGUCCGAGUCACAUGUCUGUGCCCAGCUGCAAAGGAGACUGGGUAACCAAGUUUCUGAUUUCUGCCUUGGGGAGGUGUGACUCAUGAGGCUGGAGGCUCUGGAACUCGCCAAGGAUGUUUGUGUGACGUCAAACCAACUAACAACGAACAUGAUAAAGUCUGCUGCAAGGACGGUAAGUCCACAAGAACAGGAAAUGUCUUUUCUUUGCUGGUGGACCUCCUGCCCAUAGCUUGUGCCUGGCACAAGGUAGACAGUCCUUAGCUCCUUAUUGAAUGAAUGAAUAAAUGGCAGCAAGAGGGUGAUGCUCACUGUGGGGCUUGGACAUGAUGUCCUUUCAUUUACGGGUAUUUUGGGAGAGAGUUAAGCCACCUGGACAGCAAUUUGUGUCUUAUUUGGACCAUCUUGCCAACCAGUCUGCAAUCUGUGUCACUGGUCUGAUUCUCUACUCUUUGCGGGAUGGGCAGUGGUGUGGUCCCUGGGAUUAGGCAGAAAGCAACUGACCCAGUUCAACAGAGAGGGUUGAAGCAAACACGGUUAACGAUGAAAACCUGUAUUGAUUGCAACAAUCUCUACUUUACUCCACUGUUCCUCCAGCGGAUACUGUCUACCCAGCACCCAGUUCCCACUUCCUCCUCCCUCACAGGACCCCGUGUUUGUUUGUGCCUCUGGGAGAAGCUGGCCCCACCCCCAGCUCCUGGCUGACCUGAUUGGUCUGAGGCUCUGAACUGCCCUAGUCAUCUUGUGGUCUGGUCUGAAGAUGAUGGAUACACGAAAAAGAAUCACAGGACCAGGUUUCCAGAUCAUACCAGAUCUCCACCAGAUUCUGCCCUACCUCCAGGUUCCAGAGCUAGAGCAAAGUCACUGGGACAAACACCCCCGCCUCUCAGCUGAGGACACCACCCGAAGUUUGACCUGCGUCAGCCGUCCAUGUUUGCAGUUCCGCAGACCCAGCCUCUGGAGCCGGGGAGGAAGGGGAAGAGAGAAAGCACAGGGUUCCUCAGCGACUAGUUAGUUCCAGCUCCUGGAUUAAAUUUGCUAAGUGAUGAAACCCUGCCUCCUUCCUGUCUCCCUGUGGUAGGACGCAACCCUAGAUGAAGUAUUUAUGAAGGG
RNAcentral lists this long non-coding RNA (1172 nucleotides) under Equus caballus (horse). Its description in RNAcentral is "lncRNA (ENSECAG00000037477.3)". Lineage: Eukaryota; Metazoa; Chordata; Mammalia; Perissodactyla; Equidae. The record is from RNAcentral.